Molecule: ribosomal RNA, 1571 nt
Filed under: Pristimantis skydmainos
Lineage: Eukaryota; Metazoa; Chordata; Amphibia; Anura; Strabomantidae
Description: 16S ribosomal RNA
Rfam family: Bacterial large subunit ribosomal RNA
Source: RNAcentral
CCAAAAACCUAGCUUACCACACCCACCACCUCACAACAUCAAUAAAAUAUUUUAUCAUAGUAGUAGAGAAGAUCAAAAUUUUGUUUAAAGCUAUAAAUAUGUACCGCAAGGGAAAGGUGAAAUAAAAAUGAAAUAAAUCUCAAGCACAAAAAAGUAGAGACUGCCCCUCGUACCUUUUGCAUCAUGGUUUAACUAGUCCAAUCAGGCAAAAGGCCCUUAAGUCUGACACCCCGAAACUAAGUGAGCUAAUUUAGGGCCGCCUAACGAGCCAACCCGUCUAUGUUGCAAAAUAGUGGGAAGACCCUAAAAUAGAGGUGACAAGCCUAACGAACUUAGUUAUAGCUGGUUCCUCAAGAAAAGAAUCUUAGUUCUGCCUAAAGAAACACAAAUCCAAAAAAUAUCUUCCCCCCCUUUAGAGUAAUUUAAAUAAGGUACAGCCUAUUUAAUACAGGAUCCAACCUUGACCUACGGGUAAUAUUUCCCUCUACCACCCCCAAGUGGGCCUAACAGCAGCCACCUUUAAAAAAGCGUUAAAGCUUACCUGUGGUAACUUGAAUCCACCCAUCCUUAUUGACCCCUACAACCAUAUUGAGGACUUCUAUGCCCCAUAGAAAUUUUUAUGUUAAAACUAGUAACAAGAGGAUCAACCUCUCUUAAAUGUAAACGUAAGCCAAAAGAACCCCUCACUGGCAAUUAACAGACCUCCACAGAAGUAGUAACCACCCUAGAAAACCCUACCUCUUAAACUGUCAACCUAACACCAGAACAUUCCAAGAAAGAUUAAAAGAAAAAGAAGGAACUCGGCAAAUUCUAAUCCCGCCUGUUUACCAAAAACAUCGCCUUUUGCCCCCAUAAAAGGUAUAGCCUGCCCAGUGACUCAGUUCAACGGCCGCGGUAUCCUAACCGUGCAAAGGUAGCGUAAUCACUUGUCCCCUAAAUAGAGACUUGUAUGAAAGGCACCACGAGGAUUAAGCUGUCUCCUUUCUCUAAUCAGUGAAACUAAUCUCCCCGUGAAGAAGCGGGGAUCACCUAAUAAGACGAGAAGACCCUAUGGAGCUUUAAACCUUAUAAUCAACCGCCCCACCUAAUAUACCCAGGUACACACGCCUAUGCAGUAAUGAUUAUACGUUUUUGGUUGGGGUGACCGCGGAGAAAAAACUAUCCCCCGCGAUGAAAGGACCCGCCUAAACAACAAGCUACAGCUUUAUGGAUCAACAAAUUGACACUUUUGACCCAAUAUAUUGAUUAACGAACCAAGUUACCCUAGGGAUAACAGCGCAAUCCACUUCAAGAGCCCCUAUCGACAAGUGGGCUUACGACCUCGAUGUUGGAUCAGGGUACCCCAGUGGCGCAGCCUCUACUAAAGGUUCGUUUGUUCAACGAUUAAAACCCUACGUGAUCUGAGUUCAGACCGGAGUAAUCCAGGUCAGUUUCUAUCUAUUCCCACCAAGGCUCUUUUUAGUACGAAAGGAUCAAAAAAGCGCGGCCCAUACCCAAACAAGCCGUAAUUAACAAUUUUAAAAUAAUCUUAAUAAUCACAAACCUUCCCCACACACCUCCAGAAAAGAACA